UUUCCGUAGGUGAACCUGCGGAAGGAUCAUUAACGAAUCCGCUCCUUAAGGGGACAUUUGCGCUCGUGAGCACUCAUGGGAUGCACAUUUACACAUUACUGUCAAGUUUACGUGAUUUGAAGAAUAAGAAACAACUUUUAUCAAUGGAUCUCUUGGCUCUU
This 161-nucleotide unclassified non-coding RNA is filed under the name plant metagenome. RNAcentral's name for it is "partial contains small subunit ribosomal RNA, internal transcribed spacer 1, and 5.8S ribosomal RNA". The record is from RNAcentral.